RNAcentral lists this ribosomal RNA (352 nucleotides) under uncultured bacterium. Its description in RNAcentral is "bacterial SSU rRNA". It matches the Rfam family "Bacterial small subunit ribosomal RNA", at positions 22 to 356 of the family's 1533-position model. The record is from RNAcentral.
GCUCAGGAUGAACGCUGGCGGCGUGCUUAACACAUGCAAGUCGAACGAAGCACCUUGAUUUGAUUCUUCGGAUGAAGAUCUUGGUGACUGAGUGGCGGACGGGUGAGUAACGCGUGGGUAGCCUGCCUCAUACAGGGGGAUAACAGUUAGAAAUGACUGCUAAUACCGCAUAAGACCACAGCACCACAUGGUGCAGGGGUAAAAACUCCGGUGGUAUGAGAUGGACCCGCGUCUGAUUAGGUAGUUGGUGGGGUAACGGCCUACCAAGCCGACGAUCAGUAGCCGACCUGAGAGGGUGACCGGCCACAUUGGGACUGAGACACGGCCCAAACUCCUACGGGAGGCAGCAGUA